Molecule: transfer RNA, 75 nt
Filed under: Clostridia bacterium
Lineage: Bacteria; Bacillati; Bacillota; Clostridia
Description: tRNA-Gln
Rfam family: tRNA
About the family: Transfer RNA (tRNA) molecules are approximately 80 nucleotides in length. Their secondary structure includes four short double-helical elements and three loops (D, anti-codon, and T loops).
Source: RNAcentral
UGGGGUGUAGCCAAGCGGUAAGGCAAGAGACUUUGACUCUCUCACGCGUAGGUUCGAAUCCUGCCACCCCAGCCA